Molecule: long non-coding RNA, 529 nt
Organism: Empidonax traillii (willow flycatcher)
Lineage: Eukaryota; Metazoa; Chordata; Aves; Passeriformes; Tyrannidae
Exons: 4
Source: RefSeq, a predicted model, not a curated record
AGAGACCAGUAAAAGAAAAGAUGUGAAGCCUCCAACAGCCUUAAAAGAAAAGGACUCUUCAAAAGGAAAAGAUAUUAAGGCUUCAAGUAAUACUAAGGAAAAAGUUGCAGUGAAAAAGGAGGGGGAGAAGAAAGGGAAGAGCACAUGAAAACGUCAGAAGCUGAGGAUAUUGAGAGGAAGCUCUUCAGGUCUUUCACCACACGUGCCUAAAGAUGAAAUGCAUUAAUGCAGCAGAUGUACCUCAUCUUCAUUUGACUGAAAUUUUAUUCUUUCCAGCUCCGUCGAUAGAAGAUUUUUCUUGCUGGGAUUUUAAGACUUAUAGUACUUUAAAUAUAUAAGCUUUCAGUGCUACCAUGCAAGAUUGCUGUUUCAACAAGACUUACAUUUCCCAGUGCAUUUCUAUUGUUUAAGUGACAAACUGGGAAACAGAGAAAGAUUGGGAUCAUUGCUGACGGUCCCUGAAGGCAUGCAUCUCAGAUUGAAGUUGAAGCAAUUCCUCUCAUUAAAAAGCAUUUAAAAAUGUUGGAAA